GUGGGGAAUAUUGGACAAUGGGCGAAAGCCUGAUCCAGCCAUGCCGCGUGUGUGAAGAAGGUCUUCGGAUUGUAAAGCACUUUAAGUUGGGAGGAAGGGCAGUAAGUUAAUACCUUGCUGUUUUGACGUUACCGACAGAAUAAGCACCGGCUAACUUCGUGCCAGCAGCCGCGGUAAUACGAAGGGUGCAAGCGUUAAUCGGAAUUACUGGGCGUAAAGCGCGCGUAGGUGGUUUUGUAAGUUGGAGGUGAAAUCCCCGGGCUCAACCUGGGAACUGACUCCAAAACUACUGAGCUAGAGUACGGUAGAGGGUAGUGGAAUUUCCUGUGUAGCGGUGAAAUGCGUAGAUAUAGGAAGGAACACCAGUGGCGAAGGCGACUACCUGGACUGAUACUGACACUGAGGUGCGAAAGCGUGGGGAGCAAACAGGAUUAGAUACCCCAGUAGUCC
This 450-nucleotide ribosomal RNA is filed under the name uncultured bacterium. RNAcentral's name for it is "partial 16S ribosomal RNA". It matches the Rfam family "Bacterial small subunit ribosomal RNA", at positions 354 to 796 of the family's 1533-position model. The record is from RNAcentral.